GCAGAGGUGAGAGGUGGCAGCAUCUCCCCUAGAUAGUCAGAACAUCAUGAGUCAAGUCCUGAAGCCUGCRGGACUUAAAAUACAAAGUGCUACUGAUAUUCCUUGUGCACAUUGCAUUUAUUCGCUUACUGCUUUUUGCACCACAGAGGUUUAUGGCUUCCAGCUUCAUCCCAURCCCCUGGGGGCUGGAAGCUUGCUUGGGGGUUUAAAGCAGUGAGGAGAGUCGUGGGGGCCGCUGGGUUGACUCCAGGAGCUGGGAACUGAGAGGAGAGCACCCCACGACCUCCCGGUAAGCUGUGAGCGCUGAAAUCUCUCCUGCACAUGGCAGAUAUGUGCSGGACGGUGACACAUUUUCACAUAAUUCACUGCACUCUAAUCUCCAGCCYGCAGGAGCCAAGUAAAUUGAUCCUAUACUUUCUGAGCUAGGCUUAAUCUUUUAUUGUCCGUCCAGCGUGGCUCACAGGACCGCGAGCUCCGCUUUUAUGGAGGCCGAGCACAAGCACCAGAAGGGGGAAUUGAUGCUGGUGGAAAUCACRGGUUUUCUGGGUUUCCCCUUUGCCGUUUCUGAUCUAGACGACAUCAUAAAGCGCCACAAGAAGGAGCAGAGCGGUGCCCAGGCGGCCGGGAACAGGCGGAGGCAGCAGGUGAAGAACCGGAAUUCGGCGUUCGGGUACGGGCGGCCCCGCUUCCGCACCUGGAUGCAGAGGAACUUGCAAGGACCCARCCGCUUCAGAAGAGGCUUUGGACAACAGCAGUACAAUAGAAGGCAAUUCAGGAAUACUGUGCCCGGUCCCCGGAGAAGAGCAGCUGCCGCAUUAAAUGGAGUGAGCCCGUUAAAUCGCCAGGCGUCCGCUCAAGAGGGUAACAAGAGCAACGAUGCUUUUGCCAAAAGCGGUAGCAGCGGGGACCCGGAGGCGCGGAGACGGCCACCRCUGGGCCCCAAGAGAUUCAGAGCAGCAGCUGCCAACACCCACGCCGCAGGGAGAAGUAACAGCAAGCCUUUCGUGCUGAACAGGGGACCAGGCUUCCAGCAGAAACGGAUGCAGCAGCAGUACUCCAAAGCCAACUUUCAGAGCAGGCAAAUGGAUGCAAUCGGAGACAGGAAACAACCAAGGAUGAGAAGGUGGCAAGUGAAACCCAGCCCCGGAGCAGUGCUGACGGUUUCUGURGCUAAUCCCCAGGCGAGCCAGACCAGUGCGCCCGGAGGCAAGCGGCCGUUCCUGAGGAGCCCGAGGCCCCCGCCGCGGGUGGCCAAGCCCCAGCCGAAGGGAGUGCUGCUGAGGUUCAACUUCCGCGCCAUGGCGAACCAGGUUUUCAGGGCUGCCAGUUAGCUUUAUUUAGUGUAAGCUGGGAGGAAAAUGCUGUAGCCUGGUUGGACAGGUUGUUCACAAAGCUGAAGGCGCCUGAGAAGACUGUUCAGCAACUACAGACUCAGCCUAACUUCUCCCGUGCUGCUGGCCCCUCUUGGUCUGUCCUAGUGCUUGCUUGGAGUAGGAGGAUGCUCCGGCUCCUUGUGAGCGGUCCUGGCCGGGGGAGGACRUUUCACUGGUGCUCUGUGUGCUCCCUGCUCCUCAGAGAUGCGCGACACUUCCUC
This is a long non-coding RNA of Dromaius novaehollandiae (emu), 1594 nucleotides long. Ensembl annotates it as UAP56-interacting factor-like. The record is from Ensembl. Lineage: Eukaryota; Metazoa; Chordata; Aves; Casuariiformes; Dromaiidae.